UAUGGCAGAUUAGUGCAAAGAACUUAAAAUUCUUAAAUAAAGACUUUUCAUUCUUUUAUUAAAA
This 64-nucleotide transfer RNA is filed under the name Cardiocondyla sp. A256. RNAcentral's name for it is "transfer RNA-Leu". RNAcentral also lists the same sequence under 1 other name. Lineage: Eukaryota; Metazoa; Arthropoda; Insecta; Hymenoptera; Formicidae. The record is from RNAcentral.